UACGUAGGGACCAAGCGUUGUCCGGAAUCAUUGGGCGUAAAGAGCGUGUAGGCGGCCUGUUAAGUCUUGCGUGAAAUCUCGGGGCUCAACCCCGAGCGGUCGUGAGAAACUGGCAGGCUAGAGUGCGGGAGAGGAGAGUGGAAUUCCUGGUGUAGCGGUGAAAUGCGCAGAUAUCAGGAAGAACACCCGUGGCGAAGGCGGCUCGCUGGGACGGUACUGACGCUAAGGCGCGAAAGCGUGGGGAGCGAACAGG
Molecule: ribosomal RNA, 253 nt
Filed under: uncultured bacterium
Lineage: Bacteria
Description: partial 16S ribosomal RNA
Rfam family: Bacterial small subunit ribosomal RNA
Source: RNAcentral